UUUCUUUUUUUUUUUUCCCACCCCCUCCACUUUUAAAAAGCUUCCUCCUUAUCUAAGCUGACGGGCACACUUGGGACUCCCUCGCUGUCCUUCUCCGCCUCUAGCUCUCUCCCCAUAAACUCAAGAUUAUGUCAGUUGAUUAGAACUAGCCAGGGAUUUCGUGCGGGUGUUGAAGGAGCUGCGGGAGCCGGAGAAGAAUGAAACUGCGUGGAGUCACCCUGGCUGCCGGCUUGUUCUUACUGGCCCUGAGUCUUUGGGGGCAGCCUGCAGAGGCUGCGGUUUGCUAUGGGUGUUCUCCAGGAUCAAAAUGUGACUGUAGUGGUGUAAAAGGAGAAAAGGGGGAGAGAGGAUUUCCAGGUUUGGAAGGCCAUCCAGGUUUGCCUGGAUUUCCAGGUCCAGAAGGGCCUCCAGGGCCUCGGGGACAAAAGGGUGAUGAUGGAAUUCCAGGGCCACCGGGACCAAAAGGAAUCAGAGGUCCUCCUGGACUUCCUGGAUUUCCAGGGACACCAGGUCUUCCUGGAAUGCCAGGCCAUGAUGGGGCCCCAGGACCUCAAGGUAUCCCUGGAUGCAAUGGAACCAAGGGAGAACGUGGAUUUCCAGGCAGUCCCGGUUUUCCUGGUUUACAGGGUCCUCCAGGACCUCCUGGGAUCCCAGGUAUGAAGGGAGAACCAGGCAGUAUAAUUAUGUCAUCACUGCCAGGACCAAAGGGUAAUCCGGGAUAUCCAGGUCCUCCUGGAAUACAAGGCCCAGCUGGUCCCAUUGGUUUACCAGGGCCAAUUGGUCCCCCAGGACCACCAGGUUUGAUGGGCCCUCCUGGUCCACCAGGACUUCCAGGACCAAAGGGGAAUAUGGGCUUAAAUUUCCAGGGACCCAAGGGUGAAAAGGGUGAGCAAGGUCUUCAGGGCCCCCCUGGGCCACCUGGGCAGAUCAGUGAGCAGAAAAGACCAACUGAUGUAGAGUUUCAGAAAGGAGAUCAGGGACUUCCUGGUGACCGAGGGCCUCCUGGACCUCCAGGGAUACGUGGUCCUCCAGGGCCUCCAGGUGGUGUGAAAGGUGAGAAGGGUGAGCAAGGAGAGCCUGGCAAAAGAGGUAAACCCGGCAAAGAUGGAGAGAGUGGCCAACCAGGAAUUCCAGGUUUGCCUGGUGAUCCUGGUUACCCCGGUAAACCAGGAAGGCAUGGAGAAAAGGGCCAAAAGGGUGACGUUGGCCCAACUGGGCCUCCUGGACUUGUAAUUCCUAGGCCUGGGACUGGUGUAACUGUAGGAGAAAAAGGAAACAUUGGAUUACCCGGCUUGCCUGGAGAAAAAGGAGAGCGAGGACUUCCUGGAAUACAGGGUCCGCCUGGCCUUCCUGGACCUCCAGGGACUGCAGUUACCGGUCCUCCUGGCCCCCCCGGCUUUCCUGGAGAAAGGGGCCAGAAAGGUGAUGAAGGUCCACCUGGAAUUUCUGUUCCUGGAUCUCCUGGACUUGAUGGACAGCCUGGGGCUCCUGGACUUCCAGGGCCUCCUGGCCCUCCUGGCCCUCACAUCCCUCCUAGUGAUGAGAUAUGUGAAGCAGGCCCUCCAGGCCCUCCGGGAUUGCCAGGUGAUACAGGACUCCAAGGAGAACGAGGAGUGAAAGGUGACAAAGGUGACACCUGCUUCAACUGUAUUGGAACUGGUGUUUCAGGGCCUCCAGGUCAACCUGGUCUACCAGGUCUUCCAGGUCCUCCAGGAUCUCUUGGUUUCCCUGGACAGAAGGGAGAAAAAGGACAUGCUGGUCUAACCGGUCCCAAAGGAUUAACAGGCAUACCAGGAGCUCCAGGUCCUCCAGGCUUUCCUGGAUCUAAAGGUGAACCUGGAGAUAUCCUCACUUUUCCAGGAAUGAAGGGUGACAAAGGAGAAUUGGGUUCCCCAGGAGCCCCUGGGCUUCCUGGUUUACCUGGUACCCCUGGACAGGAUGGAUUGCCAGGGCUUCCUGGCCCCAAAGGAGAACCUGGUGGAAUUGCUUUUAAGGGUGAAAGAGGUCCCCCUGGGAAUCCAGGCCUUCCAGGUCUCCCAGGGAAUAGGGGGCCUAUGGGCCCUGUGGGUUUUGGCCCUCCAGGCCCUGUAGGUGAAAAAGGCAUACAAGGUGUGGCAGGAAAUCCAGGCCAGCCAGGAAUACCAGGUCCUAAAGGUGAUCCAGGUCAGACCAUAACCCAGCCAGGGAAGCCUGGCCUGCCUGGUAACCCAGGCAGAGAUGGUGAAGUAGGUCUUCCAGGUGAUCCUGGACUUCCCGGACAACCAGGCUUGCCAGGAAUACCCGGUAGUAAAGGAGAACCAGGUAUCCCUGGAAUUGGGCUUCCCGGACCACCUGGUCCCAAAGGUUUCCCUGGAAUUCCAGGACCUCCAGGAGCACCUGGGACACCUGGAAGAAUUGGUCUAGAAGGUCCUCCUGGGCCACCAGGCUUUCCCGGACCUCAGGGAGAAGCAGGACUUGGGCUGCCUGGGCCACCUGGACCCCCAGGACUCCCAGGUUUCAAAGGAACACUUGGUCCCAAAGGGGAUCGUGGUUUCCCAGGACCUCCAGGUCUUCCAGGACGCGCUGGCUUGGAUGGGCUCCCUGGACCAAAAGGUGAUGUUGGGCCAAAUGGACAACCUGGGCCAAUGGGACCUCCUGGGCUUCCAGGAAUAGGUGUUCAGGGACCACCAGGGCCACCAGGGAUUCCUGGACCAGUAGGCCAACCUGGCCUGCAUGGAAUACCAGGAGAGAAGGGAGACCCAGGGCCUCCUGGAUUUGAUGUUCCAGGACCCCCUGGAGAGAGAGGCAGUCCAGGAAUUCCUGGAGCACCUGGUCCUAUGGGACCCCCAGGAACACCAGGGCUUCCAGGAAAAGCAGGUGCCUCUGGAUUUCCAGGUACCAAAGGUGAAAUGGGUAUGAUGGGACCUCCAGGCCCACCAGGACCUCUGGGAAUUCCUGGCAGGAGUGGUGUUCCUGGUCUCAAAGGUGAUGAUGGUUUGCAGGGUCAGCCAGGACCUCCUGGCCCUGUAGGAGAAAAAGGUGGUAAAGGAGAGCCUGGCCUUCCAGGCCCUCCUGGACCAGUGGAUCCAGAUCUAUUGGGCUCAAAAGGAGAGAAGGGGGACCCUGGCUUACCGGGUAUUCCUGGAGUUCCAGGGCCAAAAGGUUACCAGGGUUUGCCUGGAGACCCAGGGCAACCUGGACUGAGUGGACAACCUGGAUUGCCAGGACCAUCAGGUCCCAAAGGUAACCCUGGUCUUCCUGGGAAUCCAGGACUUACAGGACCUCCUGGACUUAAAGGAAGCAUAGGUGAUAUGGGGUUUCCAGGCCCUCAGGGUGUGAAAGGGUCUCCUGGACCUCCUGGAGUUCCUGGACAACCUGGCUCCCCAGGAUUACCUGGACAGAAGGGAGAAAAAGGUGAUCCUGGUGUUUCAGGCAUUGGUCUUCCUGGUCUUCCCGGCCCAAAGGGUGAACCUGGUCUGCCUGGAUACCCAGGAAACCCUGGAAUCAAAGGUUCUAGGGGAGAUACUGGUUUGCCUGGAUUACCAGGGACCCCUGGAGCAAAAGGACAACCAGGCCUUCCUGGAUUCCCUGGAACCCCAGGACUUCCUGGAGCAAAAGGUAUUAAUGGUCCUCCUGGGAACCCUGGCCUUCCAGGAGAACCUGGUCCUGUAGGUGGUGGAGGUCGUCCUGGGCCACCAGGUCCUCCAGGUGAAAAAGGCAACCCAGGUCAAGACGGUAUUCCUGGACCAGCUGGACAGAAGGGCGAACCAGGUCAGCCGGGCUUUGGAAUCCCAGGACCCCCUGGACUCCCAGGACUUUCUGGUCAAAAGGGUGAUGGAGGAUUACCUGGCAUUCCAGGAAACCCUGGCCUUCCUGGUCCAAAGGGAGAACCAGGCUUUCAGGGUUUCCCUGGUGUGCAGGGUCCCCCAGGCCCUCCUGGUUCUCCAGGUCCAGCUCUGGAAGGCCCUAAAGGCAACUCUGGGCCCCAGGGUCCUCCUGGGAGACCAGGUCCUCCAGGUUUUCAAGGUCUACCAGGUCCAGAAGGUCCCCGGGGUCUCCCUGGAAAUGGAGGUAUUAAGGGAGAGAGAGGAAACCCAGGCCAACCUGGGCAACCUGGUUUGCCUGGUUUGAAAGGAGACCAAGGACCACCAGGACUCCAGGGUAAUCCUGGCCGACCAGGUCUCAAUGGAAUGAAAGGAGAUCCUGGUCUCCCUGGUAUUCCAGGAUUUCCAGGCAUGAAGGGACCCAGUGGAGUACCUGGUUCAACUGGCCCUGAGGGGGAUCCAGGACUUGUUGGCCCCCCAGGUCCCCCUGGAUUACCUGGUGCUUCAGGACAGAGUAUUAUAAUCAAAGGAGAUGUUGGUCCACCAGGGAUCCCAGGCCAGCCUGGAUUAAAAGGUCUGCCUGGACUACCAGGACCUCAAGGCUUACCAGGUCCAGUUGGCCCUCCAGGAGAUCCGGGACGCAAUGGACUCCCUGGCUUUGAUGGUGCAGGAGGGCGCAAAGGAGAUCCAGGUCUGCCAGGCCAGCCAGGUACCCGUGGUUUGGAUGGUCCCCCUGGACCAGAUGGUAUGCAAGGUCCCCCAGGUCCUCCAGGAACUUCUUCUAUCGCCCAUGGAUUCCUCAUCACACGUCACAGCCAGACAACAGAUGCACCACAAUGCCCACAUGGAACUGUGCAGAUUUAUGAAGGCUUUUCUCUCCUGUAUGUUCAAGGAAAUAAAAGAGCUCACGGUCAAGACUUGGGGACGGCGGGCAGCUGCCUUCGUCGCUUCAGUACCAUGCCUUUCAUGUUCUGCAACAUCAAUAAUGUUUGCAACUUUGCUUCAAGAAAUGACUAUUCUUACUGGCUCUCCACCCCAGAGCCCAUGCCAAUGAGCAUGGAGCCCCUGAAGGGCCAGAACAUCCAGCCAUUUAUUAGUCGAUGUGCAGUAUGUGAAGCUCCAGCCGUGGUGAUUGCAGUUCACAGUCAGACCAUCCAGAUUCCCCAUUGUCCUCAGGGAUGGGAUUCUCUCUGGAUUGGCUACUCCUUCAUGAUGCACACAAGCGCAGGAGCAGAGGGCUCAGGUCAAGCCUUGGCCUCCCCAGGUUCCUGCUUGGAAGAGUUUCGUUCAGCUCCCUUCAUUGAAUGUCAUGGGCGGGGUACCUGCAACUACUAUGCCAAUUCCUACAGCUUUUGGCUAGCAACUGUAGAUGUGUCAGACAUGUUCAGCAAACCUCAGUCAGAAACACUGAAAGCAGGAGACUUGAGGACACGUAUUAGCCGAUGUCAAGUGUGCAUGAAGAGGACAUAACAUUUUGAAGAAUUCCUUGUGUGUUUUUAAAUGUGAUAUAUACAUAUAUAAAUUCCCAGGAUGCAACGUCUCACUCCUCCCAACUUUACCACUGCUGCCACCAAUGGUGCUACUAUAUAUGACCAAGAGAACAUGCUGACUAGUAACCAUGAAGAUACAGAAGUACCUCAACAACGUGCCAGAGCAAGGUCUCUAUUAGUUUUCUAUGAAUGAAAUAAGGAAUUUACUUCUUGGGUCCAGAAUGACUUUCCCCAGGAUUAUAAGAUGAAGAUUAUAUAUUUUGCCCAGUAACUUAAAACAGUAUGUUAAAAGUUAAAGAGAAGAAUCACACUGAGUAAAAUAAAAGACUGCAGUUUGGGGGAAGAAUUAUUUUUCAUGGUGCUACUAAUCUUACUGUAUCCCAGGUUUUUAAUAUAAAAGUGUUAAGCUUAUUUUGCUCUGUAAGUAAAGAAUGUGUAUAUUGUAUAAACAGCCUUUUAGCUCAAAGUGUUGACUCAUUUCGAUGUGACCUGACAUGUAUCACUCUUUAUAGACAACCUAUGCAAAUGUAGAAUACAGACAACAAGAUUUUGUAUCCAUGUUUACCAAACUGAAAGAAUUUAUAUUCUUACAUCAAAUUACUACUAAGAGUAAAUUUAUUUUGAGUUCUAUCCCCUAAAUUCUUAUUUGACUUUUUUAAAAAAAUAUAGGUCAUUUUAGUCACUUUAAUCAGAAUUUUAAAUGUUCAUGUUACAUACCAAAUUAUAAUAUCUAAUAGAACAUUUUCUCUUUUGCUGUGUUCUUCAAGAUUAUUAAUACUAGAUGCCCUCUUUUUAAAUGUCUCUUACAUCUUGUUUUUGCUCAUCCCUAAUUAGGUAAAGUCCUGCCAAAUAAUUUUGAGAAACAAAAAUAUGCAAAAGAUGAUGAUUUGUUCCCUGUGCUUCUUCUGUAAGAACUAUUUUCCUGUGAUCUCUUGGUUAGUCUUCUCUCUUCAGUUACAAAGCCAAUUAAUGUUUCUUCCUCUUUUUUAAUUUUAAAACAUUUUAUUAUAAAUAGCCAUAGAAUACCUUAUUUCCCUAGUUGUCCUCUUUUCACUUCAUGUUUUUUAACUCACCAAUAUCGAUUUAAUUAAAGAUAUCCUAUGUUGUAA
Molecule: RNA transcript, 6402 nt
Organism: Lontra canadensis (Northern American river otter)
Lineage: Eukaryota; Metazoa; Chordata; Mammalia; Carnivora; Mustelidae
Gene: COL4A5
Gene name: collagen type IV alpha 5 chain
Exons: 54
Source: RefSeq, a predicted model, not a curated record